CGAAGGGAGCGAGCGUUGUUCGGAAUCACUGGGCUUAAAGCGUGCGUAGGCGGACUGGAAAGUCAGAAGUGAAAUCCCGGGGCUUAACCCCGGAACUGCUUUUGAAACUUCCAGUCUAGAAACCAGAAAAGGUUGGCGGAAUAUCCAGUGUAGAGGUGAAAUUCGCAGAUAUUGGAUAGAACACCGGUGGCGAAGGCGGCCAACUGGUCUGGUAUUGACGCUGAGGUACGAAAGCGUGGGGAGCAAACAGGAUUAGAUACCCUGGUAGUCCACGCCGUAAACGAUGUAUGCUAGCUGUCAGGGCCUCAGGUCUUGGCGGCGGAGGGAAACCAUUAAGCAUACCGCCUGGGGAGUACGGCCGCAAGGUUA
RNAcentral lists this ribosomal RNA (369 nucleotides) under uncultured organism. RNAcentral's name for it is "bacterial SSU rRNA". It matches the Rfam family "Bacterial small subunit ribosomal RNA", at positions 526 to 896 of the family's 1533-position model. The record is from RNAcentral.